GUUAGAGUCCAGAAGUGAUUGUAUAAAACAAAGGAUGUCUGUCCCGUAAUUCAACUUUAAUAUCGUCUAGUAACAUGAUAAUAAUAAACUAAACGUCCUCCCUUAGUGGUGUUAAAUAAGUAUCCCACCCAGACAAUAUAUAUAUAGCUCUAUAAGCGAAUGUAAAUAAGGCAUUUAAACAAGAGCUACCGCGUCAGGUAUUAUACCAACAUAUGAGAGAGCAAAGUGUAGUAGGUAGAAGUGAAAAUGAAAGGGAGGGAAGAACGAAAGAGAACAGGGAGGGAAAAUACUCGCCUCCUGUCAUUAUUAAAAUUAAGAUUAUCUGUACACUAAAGCUAGCAUAAUCUUCAAUUUUAUCACAUGACAGGAGGCUUCGUAUUUUGCAAUUUCAACGCUGUGAAAGAAAAGCGAAUGCCGGAUUAUCAAGAGGGCGAAAGUAGAAUGUCCUAAAGGUAGAUUCUCUGGUCCAGUCCGCCGCUCGUAAAAUGUCCGAAAGGGACGCGCCUGCCGCAUAAGCGGAAGAGGCCGCUGCCCCACGAACGGAGUGUGCUCCAAAAGUUUGGUCAAUACCGGCAAGGGAUAGUAGCCAUCUAACCCAUCUGGCCAG
Non-coding RNA from Pelobates cultripes (western spadefoot toad), 607 nucleotides. The record is from the annotation of a GenBank genome assembly. NCBI's taxonomy places the organism in Eukaryota, Metazoa, Chordata, Amphibia, Anura, Pelobatidae.